This 406-nucleotide ribosomal RNA is filed under the name uncultured bacterium. RNAcentral describes it as "partial 16S ribosomal RNA". It matches the Rfam family "Bacterial small subunit ribosomal RNA", at positions 30 to 526 of the family's 1533-position model. The record is from RNAcentral.
AUUGAACGCUGGCGGCAGGCCUAACACAUGCAAGUCGAGCGAGCGGCGGACGGGUGAGUAAUGUCUGGGAAACUGCCUGAUGGAGGGGGAUAACUACUGGAAACGGUAGCUAAUACCGCAUACCAUCGGAUGUGCCCAGAUGGGAUUAGCUUGUUGGUGGGGUAAAGGCCUACCAAGGCGACGAUCCGUAACUGGUCUGAGAGGAUGACCAGCCACACUGGAACUGAGACACGGUCCAGACUCCUACGGGAGGCAGCAGUGGGGAAUAUUGCACAAUGGGCGCAAGCCUGAUACAGCCAUGCCGCGUGUAUGAAGAAGGCCUUCGGGUUGUAAAGUACUUUCAGCGGGGAGGCGUUACCCGCAGAAGAAGCACCGGCUAACUCCGUGCCAGCAGCCGCGGUAAUUC